This 324-nucleotide ribosomal RNA is filed under the name uncultured bacterium. RNAcentral describes it as "bacterial SSU rRNA". It matches the Rfam family "Bacterial small subunit ribosomal RNA", at positions 28 to 329 of the family's 1533-position model. The record is from RNAcentral.
GACGAACGCUGGCGGCGUGCUUAACACAUGCAAGUCGAACGAGACGAUUUAGAAGCUUGCUUUUAUUGAGUCGAGUGGCAAACGGGUGAGUAACGCGUAGACAACCUGCCGCAAAGAUGGGGACAACAGUCCGAAAGGACUGCUAAUACCGAAUGUUGUAUCUCCUCCGCAUGGAAGGGACUAUUAAAGAUGGCCUCUACUUGUAAGCUAUCGCUUUGCGAUGGGUCUGCGUCUGAUUAGCUAGUUGGCGGGUAAGAGCCCACCAAGGCGACGAUCAGUAGCCGGUCUGAGAGGAUGAACGGCCACAUUGGAACUGAGACACGG